UCCCUGGUGGCUCAGUGGUAAAGAAUCUGCCUGUUAAGCAGGAGAUGCAGGUUCAAUCCCUGGGUUGGGAA
Molecule: transfer RNA, 71 nt
Organism: Ovis aries (sheep)
Lineage: Eukaryota; Metazoa; Chordata; Mammalia; Artiodactyla; Bovidae
Rfam family: tRNA
About the family: Transfer RNA (tRNA) molecules are approximately 80 nucleotides in length. Their secondary structure includes four short double-helical elements and three loops (D, anti-codon, and T loops).
Source: Rfam